This 258-nucleotide ribosomal RNA is filed under the name uncultured bacterium. RNAcentral describes it as "partial 16S ribosomal RNA". It matches the Rfam family "Bacterial small subunit ribosomal RNA", at positions 58 to 339 of the family's 1533-position model. The record is from RNAcentral.
CAAGUCGAACGGGUGUAGCAAUACAUCAGUGGCAAACGGGUGAGGAAUGUAGAGGAAUCUUCCCAGCAGUAAGGAAUAACCCUGGGAAACCAGAGCUAAUGCCAUAUAUUACCGAUUUAUCGGGAAAGAUUUAUCGCUGUUGGAUGAGCCUCUAUCGGAUUAGCUAGUUGGUAGGGUAAUGGCCUACCAAGGCAAUGAUCCGUAGCUGGUCUGAGAGGAUGAUCAGCCACACUGGGACUGAGACACGGCCCAGACUCC